CUAAAACAAAGAACAAAAAAGUAAAAGGACAAGAGAGCAAAUAAGACUUUAAACUGGUGAUCGCACACAAUUCAAAAUCCAUAGCUAUGAAUGCCAACACAUACUCACGAGCUGAAGCUGCUCCUGGUGCGGGUGGGGGGCUGGGAGCAAGUCAAACUCGUGUCCGUGGACAAAGUGGUCGUGUUCUAUCGCUACGCCACCCUUCUUACACAUGGGCAGCCCUAUCAGCAGGCCCAGCAUCAUACACCCACAUGUCUAUGUGAACGUGGUACCUUCAGGCGUUUGAAAUAUGCUCCCAAGGAUGAACCAGACUUGUGGAGGUCUACAAUGGUUUUCUGAGGUCUUGGCUGAUUUCUUUUGAUUUUCCCAUGAUGUCAAGCAAAAAGGCACUGAGUUUGAAGAAGGUGGAGAGUGCUGCGGGUGAGGAAGCCCAGCUGCUGUAAGGGACCCCAGGGCCUGCAGGCCCGCUCCUCCUCCACCCAAGCCUACGGACAGGAGCAGCUCUUCCACCUCACUGACAACAUCCACUCUGAGUUGUGAGUCACACUCCUGCUCUGAGCUCCCAGUUAAGCCACUAUCUGGCCAGUCACAGUGGCCACAGUGUGUGCAGGAUUUUGUUUCCAACCCAGCUCUAACACACUCGAUUCCACUCAUCAUAGUAUUUCAUUUAGACCACGAUGAGUUGAUGAGUCAGGUGGGUUAGUGAUGGGCUGGAACAAAAGCCUGCUGAAGGUGUUUUGAAAAAGACAGCUGAAGGUUUGGAGAAACAGCGAUCUCUGAUUAAUAUUGCGUCACAUGGAAUAAAGUUGAGUUAUAUUUCGA
Molecule: RNA transcript, 822 nt
Organism: Oncorhynchus keta (chum salmon)
Lineage: Eukaryota; Metazoa; Chordata; Actinopteri; Salmoniformes; Salmonidae
Gene name: intermembrane lipid transfer protein VPS13D-like
Exons: 5
Source: RefSeq, a predicted model, not a curated record